UCGGAACACAGGUGCUGCAUGGCUGUCGUCAGCUCGUGUCGUGAGAUGUUGGGUUAAGUCCCGCAACGAGCGCAACCCUCGUUCUAUGUUGCCAGCACGUAAUGGUGGGAACUCAUGGGAUACUGCCGGGGUCAACUCGGAGGAAGGUGGGGAUGACGUCAAAUCAUCAUGCCCCUUAUGUCUUGGGCUUCACGCAUGCUACAAUGGCCGGUACAAAGGGCUGCAAUACCGCGAGGUGGAGCGAAUCCCAAAAAGCCGGUCCCAGUUCGGAUUGAGGUCUGCAACUCGACCUCAUGAAGUCGGAGUCGCUAGUAAUCGCAGAUCAGCAACGCUGCGGUGAAUACGUUCCCGGGUCUU
Molecule: ribosomal RNA, 357 nt
Filed under: uncultured Microbacterium sp.
Lineage: Bacteria; Bacillati; Actinomycetota; Actinomycetes; Micrococcales; Microbacteriaceae
Description: bacterial SSU rRNA
Rfam family: Bacterial small subunit ribosomal RNA
Source: RNAcentral